This 654-nucleotide ribosomal RNA is filed under the name Pimelia atlantis frigioides. RNAcentral's name for it is "eukaryotic LSU rRNA". It matches the Rfam family "Eukaryotic large subunit ribosomal RNA", at positions 663 to 1267 of the family's 3401-position model. Lineage: Eukaryota; Metazoa; Arthropoda; Insecta; Coleoptera; Tenebrionidae. The record is from RNAcentral. RNAcentral also lists the same sequence under 3 other names.
GGACCAAGGAGUCUAGCAUGUGCGCGAGUCAUUGGGACAUUUCUAAACCUAAAGGCGCAAUGAAAGUGAAGGUCCGCCUAGCGCGGACCGAGGGAGGAUGGGCGGACGUUUCGGCUGCCGUCCCGCACUCCCGGGGCGUCUCAUUCUCAUUGCGAGAAGAGGCGCACCAUGAGCGUACACGCUGGGACCCGAAAGAUGGUGAACUAUGCCUGGUCAGGACGAAGUCAGGGGAAACCCUGAUGGAGGUCCGUAGCGAUUCUGACGUGCAAAUCGAUCGUCGGAACUGGGUAUAGGGGCGAAAGACUAAUCGAACCAUCUAGUAGCUGGUUCCCUCCGAAGUUUCCCUCAGGAUAGCUGGCGCUCGUUGCGUACGAGUUUCAUCCGGUAAAGCGAAUGAUUAGAGGCAUUGGGGUCGAAACGGCCUCAACCUAUUCUCAAACUUUAAAUGGGUGAGAUCUCCGGCUUGCUCGAACAUACAAACUUGAAGCCGCGAGACUCGAAUCAGAGUGCCAAGUGGGCCAUUUUUGGUAAGCAGAACUGGCGCUGUGGGAUGAACCAAACGCCGAGUUAAAGCGCCUAAAUCGACGCUUAUGGGAUACCAUGAAAGGCGUUGGUAACUUAAGACAUCAGGACGGUGGCCAUGGAAGUCGGAAU